CCCUUAGACGUUCUGGGCCGCACGCGCGCUACACUGGCCGGUGCAACAAGCAUCCGUCCUUGGCCGACAGGCCCGGGCAAUCUUUGAACGCCGGUCGUGAUGGGGAUAGUCUUUUGCAAUUUUUGGUCUUCAACGAGGAAUUCCUAGUAAACGCAAGUCAUCAACUUGCAUUGAUUACGUCCCUGCCCUUUGUACACACCGCCCGUCGCACCUACCGAUUGAAUGGUCCGGUGAAGCCUCCGGAUUGGCGCGCACCUCGGUGCCGCCGAGAAGUUGGCUAAACCUUACCAUUUAGAGGAAGGUGAAGUCGUAACA
RNAcentral lists this ribosomal RNA (315 nucleotides) under uncultured eukaryote. Its description in RNAcentral is "partial 18S ribosomal RNA". It matches the Rfam family "Eukaryotic small subunit ribosomal RNA", at positions 1470 to 1796 of the family's 1831-position model. The record is from RNAcentral.